CCUACGGGAGACAGCAGUGAGGAAUAUUGGUCAAUGGGCGGGAGCCUGAACCAGCCAAGCCGCGUGAGGGAAGAAGGUACAGCGUAUCGUAAACCUCUUUUGUCAGGGAACAAAGGCGGGGACUAGUCCCCGGAUGAGGGUACCUGAAGAAAAAGCAUCGGCUAACUCCGUGCCAGCAGCCGCGGUAAUACGGAGGAUGCGAGCGUUAUCCGGAUUUAGUGGGUUUAACGGGUGCGCAGGCGGCCUGUUAAGUCAGCGGUAAAAGCCCGGGGCUAAACCCCGGCGAGCCGUUGAAACUGGCGGGCUGGAGUUGGAGAGAAGUACGCGGAAUGCGCGGUGUAGCGGUGAAAUGCUUAGAUAUCGCGCAGAACCCCGAUUGCGAAGGCAGCGUACCGGCUCCACACUGACGCUGAGGCACGAAAGCGUGGGUAUCGAACAGGAUUAGAUACCCUUGUAGUC
This 459-nucleotide ribosomal RNA is filed under the name uncultured bacterium. RNAcentral describes it as "partial 16S ribosomal RNA". It matches the Rfam family "Bacterial small subunit ribosomal RNA", at positions 338 to 795 of the family's 1533-position model. The record is from RNAcentral.